Molecule: transfer RNA, 70 nt
Filed under: Podarcis lilfordi (Lilford's wall lizard)
Lineage: Eukaryota; Metazoa; Chordata; Lepidosauria; Squamata; Lacertidae
Description: tRNA.Ile
Source: RNAcentral
GACCUAGCUCAGUGGUUAGAGUGUGGUGCUGAUAACACCAAUGUUGCAGUUUUGAUCCCCGUAUGGGACA